GGGGGUGACAUGGCUUCGACGGGGAUAUCGAAAUCGCUUGGUGCAUGCCGAGGGGGCAGCUUUCCUCGUUAAUCCAGCCGCAAACUUUUAGUUGCCAACGACGACAACUACGCUCUGGCCGCUUAAGGCCUAGCCCCGAACCCGCUUGUGUCUGUGCUCGCCGGUGUAGGGUCACUAUCACGGAAUCGCUGAUGAUCGCCGCCAGUCGGUCCUCGGCUAACUCUUAACUAGCUGGUCCUGCGGUGCGCUUCGCACGCCGUGUUGCCGCAGGACGAGAUCAAACGGCGAGCUAUGCAUGUAGAGCCAGGGACGUAGCGUCUUCGGACGGGGGUUCAAUUCCCCCCACCUCCACCA
This 354-nucleotide transfer-messenger RNA is filed under the name Rhodanobacteraceae. Its description in RNAcentral is "Rudaea sp005503555 Standard tmRNA". It matches the Rfam family "transfer-messenger RNA". From Rfam's summary of the family: Bacterial tmRNA, also known as 10Sa RNA or SsrA, is named for its dual tRNA and mRNA-like properties. Its role is to liberate the mRNA from a stalled ribosome. The record is from RNAcentral. RNAcentral also lists the same sequence under 1 other name. Lineage: Bacteria; Pseudomonadati; Pseudomonadota; Gammaproteobacteria; Lysobacterales.